UACGGGGGGAGCAAGCGUUGUUCGGAUUUACUGGGCGUAAAGGGCGCGUAGGCGGUCAGCACAAGUCAGUUGUGAAAUCUCCGGGCUUAACUCGGAAAGGUCAACUGAUACUGUGCGACUAGAGUGCGUUCGGGGCAGAGGGAAUUCCUGGUGUAGCGGUGAAAUGCGUAGAGAUCAGGAAGAACACCGGUGGCGAAAGCGCUCUGCUAGGCCGCAACUGACACUGAGGGACGAAAGCUAGGGGAGCGAAUGGG
Molecule: ribosomal RNA, 254 nt
Filed under: uncultured bacterium
Lineage: Bacteria
Description: partial 16S ribosomal RNA
Rfam family: Bacterial small subunit ribosomal RNA
Source: RNAcentral